RNAcentral lists this ribosomal RNA (465 nucleotides) under uncultured bacterium. RNAcentral describes it as "partial 16S ribosomal RNA". It matches the Rfam family "Bacterial small subunit ribosomal RNA", at positions 28 to 507 of the family's 1533-position model. The record is from RNAcentral.
GACGAACGCUGGCGGCGUGCUUAACACAUGCAAGUCGUACGGUAAGGCCCUUUCGGGGGUACACGAGUGGCGAACGGGUGAGUAACACGUGAGUAACCUGCCCACAACUUUGGGAUAACGCUAGGAAACUGGUGCUAAUACUGGAUAUGUGCUCCUGCUGCAUGGUGGGGGUUGGAAAGCUCCGGCGGUUGUGGAUGGACUCGCGGCCUAUCAGCUUGUUGGUGGGGUAGUGGCCUACCAAGGCGGCGACGGGUAGCCGGCCUGAGAGGGUGACCGGCCACAUUGGGACUGAGAUACGGCCCAGACACCUACGGGAGGCAGCAGUGGGGAAUAUUGCACAAUGGGCGCAAGCCUGAUGCAGCAACGCCGCGUGCGGGAGGACGGCCUUCGGGUUGUAAACCGCGUUCAGCAGGGACGAAGCUUUUUGUGACGGUACCUGCAGAAGAAGCACCGGCUAACUACGUG